Molecule: long non-coding RNA, 680 nt
Organism: Spodoptera frugiperda (fall armyworm)
Lineage: Eukaryota; Metazoa; Arthropoda; Insecta; Lepidoptera; Noctuidae
Exons: 2
Source: RefSeq, a predicted model, not a curated record
AUGUAGGGGAGACCGAGGGGUUUUGAAACAGAGGUGAGAUGAAACAGUCCCGAUUUCUCGAAACCUAAAACCGUUAGCGAUUUGGCAUCGUCGCUUUUCAACCACCUCCCGCCACCCGCUAUCGAGUUAGUUCGCGCCGGUGGCGUCAGUGGUGCGGUUGUGUAGUUCUGAGUGACAUGUGCCGAAAAUCGCAAAAUCAUGCCUACUGAUUAUAAACGAAAGACCGACAGAGGUAUGGCGAGUCGCGAGAUUUACGAUCUCGCUGCUGAAGAAGUCACUUUUUUUGUUGAUUUUACCGUUAUUUUAAUUAAUGUUAAGAAUAGGGCAAUUUUUACUAACUUAGGAGUUAAUUAUUUGUAUUAGACCUGUAGUUAUUAUAAAUACAUUGUUUAAAAAAGGUAAAAAAGGUCAUUCUUACUUGAAAAGUUUUUAUAUUUUUGUAUUUGUCAUUUGUGAGAUAAUUGUAAGCUGAAUAAUUCAAGAAAUAUUGUUUAAGACUGAUUGUAAUACUUAAAAAAAUGACUGAUAGUUAAUAAUUAUUAUAUGUCAAAGAUUUAGUUACUUAUCUAGGAAUGUAAAACAUUUUGUUGAUUCGACUGAAAGAGUUUAUUAUUUUUAUUUGUGUUAGACCUACUUGACUGAUAUGUCAUUAAAACAUUACUAAAAAAGAUCGUUGAUUA